UCGCUACUACCGAUUGAACGGUUUGAUGAGUUCCGAGGAUGAGAGGCUUCCGGGCUUUGUCCGGUUGUUUUUCAGAGCAGGUGCAAAUCUGAUCGUUUAGAGGAAGUAA
This 109-nucleotide ribosomal RNA is filed under the name uncultured eukaryote. RNAcentral describes it as "partial small subunit ribosomal RNA". It matches the Rfam family "Eukaryotic small subunit ribosomal RNA", at positions 1676 to 1785 of the family's 1831-position model. The record is from RNAcentral.